RNAcentral lists this long non-coding RNA (2141 nucleotides) under Homo sapiens (human). RNAcentral's name for it is "HSALNT0261684". Lineage: Eukaryota; Metazoa; Chordata; Mammalia; Primates; Hominidae. The record is from RNAcentral.
GGAGCCUGGAGGGGCACCGGCCACGGGCAGGGGAGACAGAGGCGGGCACAGCCUGGCGGGGUCCGGGCUGAGCCAGCGGGGAGGACGGGGCUGUGGGAGCCCAGCGGAGAGGGUGAGGAUCCGCGGGCAGGUGGGACAGGUGAGCUGGGAGGUGAGAGAUGGGCAGGGCUGCCUGAAAGGCAAGUUCAUCCCAGAGCAGCGAGCAGGGCGCAGCCAAAGGCCGUGGGGGAAACAGCGGCGAGAAAAAAACGGCCAAAAUUCUGCCCGCAGUGCGCCUGUAUCCUAGCGGGGCGGCCACAAAAAUAUUGUUGAGUAGCAAGAAGUGUUUCGAAAGUGUGCAGUGGGUAAAGUGUGAGAAAAUAAAGCAGAUUUAAUCAAGAGGAACGGAGUCCUCAGGGCUGGCUGGAGAGGAGCGUGGUUUCAAGAACGCGGUCAGGAAAGGACUCGCUGAGAAGAAAUUUGGCGCCCAAACGUUCCUGGCACCGCCCGCGGCUGCUGAUUGGCUCAAGCCCGUAGGAUUCCUCUGGGCCUGAAGGUGCGGGGAGGGACUUGCACUUUCAGCUCCUGAUUGGCUGUGCGUCAGCUCCCAGAGGCAAGUGUCCGUGGGGGAAAGCUCCAUCUGCCUCGCAGAUCUGCUGCGUAAUAGGCACCUGAAGCUGCUGAUUGGCUACUAAAGAGGCCUGUGCAGCCACUGAUUGGCUGUGGGGUAGACGCACAACGUGCGAGGCGCGCGGGCUGGGCCCAGGGCGACAGCGGAGCCUUCACACCGCUUUCUCCGCGCGCUGAUGGAGGAUUCCUGGCCUCACAGCAGUGCCUGGCCUGUGGGCGUCCCCGGCAGUCCUCGGCUGCGGGACCUGUAUCGGGACUGCGCAAAGUGGGCUUCCAGGAGAGCAGGGCGUCCCUCAGUCAGCUGACCCCUUGGAGCGUGGGGCAGCCCAGGCCCGUGAGGCCGCCAGUGUCACCCUCAGGCCCGCGAGGCCCCCGAGCCCCUUGUGGGGUCCAAGGCCCAUUCUGGAUCAGUCACGAGGCAAGACCGCGGACCCUCAGGAGAUCACCAGGAGCCCGCCGCGCAUUCCUCCGCCUCCACCACGCCAGUCACCUGCUCAGCCCGAGGGCAGCCAGCGGCCGUCGCCCCAGUGAGGCGGCCGGUGAGGAGCUGAGGCCGUGACCAGGGCAGCGCCCCGCGAGUCAGCGUCAGUCCCCGCGCCAGCCAGUUCCUCAGACAAUCAGCUCACCAUUCCCAUCGCGUAUGCUGGGAAAUCAUCAAUAUACCCGCUGUCAUGAUCCAUUUCUCUGUUCCUUUUUGUGUUUCUGCAACAUGACCUCAGUUCUCUCAGGAAGCCCCAAAACCUGUGAAACUAACCUGUGCUUGCAGCUCUGCUUGCUGCCAGAAACAAAGGCUGGGAGCCAGCAACAGGAACCAGCCAGGGGAUGAGUUCAGCCCAGACGUGCUGCCUGGACCUGGAUUCCUGCCUCAGUGCAGGCCUUGACCUGAUUUCUUGCUUCAUUACCAUACUAAAAUCUCCACUCAGGGGCGAGAACUAUGCCUUGCUAGGCACAGAAGGUGCCAAGUACAAAAGAAAACACAAGAGUGUGCACACUUCAGCCCCUCCUGAAGGAACCCACCUUUUUCCAGAUCUGCCCGCCUCAGUCUCCAACUACCUGCCCUAAGGGCCCUUAAGAUCCCCUUUUACCAACCCCUGGGAGAAGGUGCUUUGCACAUGAACUCCCUUUCUCCAUUUCUUGAUCAAUGAAUAAAGUUUCUUCUCCGCUUUGCCGAUUCUGGUCUCAUUCUAUUGGCGUAAGUGGCAGGGGGCAGAGAAAGGACCCACUAGGGCCAACUCACCCCUCCAAGGGUGGGUAACAUUUGCAGCAAAACUCCUCAAGAGGUUGUUUGUCGUCACUCUUCCUACCUUCCUUUCUUCGGUUAUUUUCCAAACGAGCUUCCAAUCAAGUCCCCCACCCUUUCACACAUGUUCAUCAAAGCUGCCAUUGCCAGUUAUCUCAGACGUAAACAAAAUCAACUCAAUAUGGAUUAAAGAUGGAAAUGUAAGGCCUGAAACUGUAAAACUCCUUGAAGAAAACAGGAGAAAAAGCUUCUUGACAUUAUCUGGGCUCAGAUUUUUUUAGAUACUGUAAAC